AACUCAAUGUAUACAAUAUCAUAAAACUCCAAUCAACAUAACUUAACAUUGAAACUCAACAUUCACAACAUUUUAGAAUAAGAUAAAAUUCAUGAGGCGCGAAUGAAAAUAAUAGAACAUAGCUCAUAUAAUCAGGGAAUAUUUCAGUUUAGGUCACCAUACCUUUGCCUUUGCUUUCCUUUCCUGCUCAAGUCUUCUUUCUACACUCGCUUCCUCCCCUUUUGGACACAAUU
This 233-nucleotide long non-coding RNA is filed under the name Vigna radiata. RNAcentral's name for it is "long non-coding RNA (VRAD_LNC008102)". The record is from RNAcentral. Lineage: Eukaryota; Viridiplantae; Streptophyta; Magnoliopsida; Fabales; Fabaceae.